Molecule: small RNA, 427 nt
Filed under: Drosophila erecta
Lineage: Eukaryota; Metazoa; Arthropoda; Insecta; Diptera; Drosophilidae
Description: GG27223
Source: RNAcentral
GCGCUGUGGAGGUGGAGGAAUGGAUCAAUGACCAGAAUGAGAGUACAAGCAAUUUGUUGACCAAAAAAAGACAAAGUCAUCGGCUAAAAGGAUUUCAAAUGAAAGAACAAGCCAAAUGAGCAAGGAUGAGCGAGGGGAUCGCUUGUCUUGGGAGGAGGAGAGUUACUUUCCCGGCUGCCGAUUUAAAUGAUGUCCAGUGGCUCAGCAGCAACAACAACAACAGCACCAAGUGGCACUUGCAGCUCUGUUUGCUUAAUGAAACAACAGCGACACACUCACACUCACACACAUACUCGCACACAAAGUAACACCAAGAGACUGUGUGAAACACCAACAAAAACACCUUGGGCAAAUAAUGCAGACAGGACGGCCACAGUCGACUUGGUCAUAACUGUGCCACCUGACACCUGACCUAGAGGGUGCUGGC